Molecule: ribosomal RNA, 768 nt
Filed under: uncultured Acidobacteriota bacterium
Lineage: Bacteria; Pseudomonadati; Acidobacteriota
Description: bacterial SSU rRNA
Rfam family: Bacterial small subunit ribosomal RNA
Source: RNAcentral
UGAUCCUGGCUCAGAAUCAAUGCUGGCGGCGUGCUCAGACAUGCAGUCGACGCGAAAGCCCCCUUCGGGGGGCAAGUAGAGUGGCGCACGGGUGAGUAACACGUAGGUAAUCUACCUUUGGAUGGGGAAUAACCACCGGAAACGGUGGCUAAUACCGCAUAAUGCAGCGGCACCUAAUGGUGACAGUUGUUAAAGCGGGGGAUCGCAAGACCUCGCGUCUGAAGAGGAGCCUGCGGCAGAUUAGCUAGUUGGUAAGGUAAAGGCUUACCAAGGCGAUGAUCUGUAGCCGGCCUGAGAGGGCGGUCGGCCACACUGACACUGACAUACGGGUCAGACUCCUACGGGAGGCAGCAGUCGGGAAUUUUGGGCAAUGGGCGAAAGCCUGACCCAGCAACGCCGCGUGAAGGAUGAAAUCCCUCGGGAUGUAAACUUCGCAAGAACGGGAAGAAUAAGUAAGAGCUAACAUCUCUUAUGAUGACGGUACUGUUUGUAAGCUCCGGCUAACUCCGUGCCAGCAGCCGCGGUAAUACGGGGGGAGCAAGCGUUGUUCGGAUUUACUGGGCGUAAAGGGCGCGUAGGCGGCCACCGCAAGUCGACUGUGAAAUCUCCGGGCUUAACCCGGAACGGUCAGCCGAUACUGCGGGGCUAGAGUGCAGAAGGGGCAACUGGAAUUCUCGGUGUAGCGGUGAAAUGCGUAGAUAUCGAGAGGAACACCUGCGGCGAAGGCGGGUUGCUGGGCUGACACUGACGCUGAGGCGCGAAAGCUAG